Long non-coding RNA from Columba livia (rock pigeon), 1877 nucleotides. RefSeq lists it as uncharacterized. The record is from RefSeq and is a predicted model, not a curated record. NCBI's taxonomy places the organism in Eukaryota, Metazoa, Chordata, Aves, Columbiformes, Columbidae. The transcript has 3 exons.
CUAUUUGAGGCUAACAGCUUCUUUUGUCUGGCCCAGAGCACCCUGGCUCCUGGGACAUUAGAAGAAGGGAGUGCAAAGGCACACUGGGCCGCGCCCAGUGUGGGGGAUGUUUGAGGGCUUCAGGGGCACCCACACUCAGUGUGGGGGGUGCAGAGAAGCUUAUACAAUGCCUACAGUCAGGUCUGAUCAGAUAACAAAACGGGACUCUCGUCGAGACUCCGCCCAUUGCCGCGGGUCUCUUGGAGCACGAGCUUAGCCACUGCCGCCAGGAGAGCCCCCCUCCCCGGGAUGGAGACUCCGCUUGCCUCGCCGCCACAGGUGGUUGGUGUGGAGGGGUUGCUGUUAGAUGGAGAUUUGUUACUGAACCAGCCAGGAAUUUCAAGGCUGGGAACAGGACCUGCCGUGGGAGAGAAGCAACUCCGAAAUAACAAGGCCCCAACGUGGUAUAAAUCAACGGACCUAUAAGCAGUGAGACUUUGGCGCGUGGACAGCUCGUGAACAUAGAUGAUAUCCAAUUAGCGAAUGCAUGCUUGGAGCGUGGACACGUGAUCAGAGAAUAAGGAGGCUUGUUUCUGUAAUAAAUGGCUUUGCGUGAUUCACAUUGAAUCGGAAUGCUGAGUCCUUUAUUCACUCCAACAAAUGGUGACCCCGACGUGACGCUCUGAACGGCGUAUCACUACGAUUGGGGAAAAGCCUGGAGUGGCCCAGACGGAGGCGGAUCAGCUGGACUGAGAACUGGGCAGAGGCGUACGGACGUUCCGCAGACAAAUUUCUCGAAAAAAUCACUGGAAAAGGCCAAGGAUUGAAGUGGAUUCCUGCAAACUGGGCCAAGCCAUGGCUGAAUAAAGACAACAAAGAUUCAAUGAAUGCAGAUGGACAGGAGGGAGAUAAGUUGUGAGGACUGUUUCAGACGUAAACCAUGAAUCCUAAUUCAGUGUUAUAGAUGCUCACAGACCUGGUGAUCUAGAAGCCUAUUAGCAAGCAGGUGGUGUACCUUCUGUGGAGAAUGGCAAUUUGAACAAACAGCAGGAGAGCCAAAAGGGCGAUAUUACACUUAAUCAAUGCAAAAAUGAGGUAAAAUUAUGAGACAUUCCUACCAUAGGACCUACUGCACUCUUUCUCACUGAUCUAGCAGCUGGUAAAGCUUUAGAAGACAUAUCAAAGUUCAACUAUUGUUCUUUUAAAUAGGUUAAUUUAACUCUUGAAAUACUAAUAAUAGAUGUUGAUGGUAUUAGACAUGUUACUCUACAAAAUCACGCAGUUAUAAAUGUUCUACUUUUAACAUUAGGAUUAUAGUUGUGCUGUAUUAACUUGUUUGAUUAUUCUAAAUCUAUUAAUAAGUGCUUUAGACAAGCUAGAACCGUACAUUAAUAAGAUUGCCGUAGUAAAGUUAAGGUUUGACAUACAGCUUAUAAGUUUUGGAAUAAGUGGGUAGUUGUUUGAUCAUAUUAAAUAAGGCUUAAUUGCAUUAUAUGUAACUGUAUUUAUUGCGUUAAUCAUGUGCUGUAUAUCGCAGUGUAUUUCAAAGAUGAUUCAGCGCACCGUAAAUGGGGCCCGGCUGGUUCAAGAAGAAAAAAGGGGGAAUUGUGGAGGGGUUGCUGUUAGAUGGAGAUUUGUUACUGAACCAGACAGGAAUUUCAAGGCUGGGAACAGGACCUGCCAUGGGAGAGAAGCAACUCCGAAAUAACAAGGCCUCAACGUGGUGUAAAUCAGCGGACCUACCAGCAGUGAGACUUCAGCGCGUGGACAGCUCGUGAACAUAGAUGAUAUCCAAUUAGCAAAUGCAUGAUUGGAGUGUGGACGCGUGAUCAGAGAAUAGUUGCAUAUAUAGGGAGGCUCGUUUCUGUAAUAAAUGGCUUUGCAUGAUUCACAUUGAA